This is a non-coding RNA of Coemansia sp. RSA 1287, 90 nucleotides long. NCBI's taxonomy places the organism in Eukaryota, Fungi, Kickxellomycota, Kickxellomycetes, Kickxellales, Kickxellaceae. The record is from the annotation of a GenBank genome assembly.
CCGAAAAUAGCUCAGUUGGCAGAGCGGGAGACUGUAGUGGACAACAACCAAGAUAUCUCUAGGUCCCUGGUUCAAAUCCGGGUUUUCGGA